This 291-nucleotide unclassified non-coding RNA is filed under the name Hevea brasiliensis (rubber tree). The record is from RNAcentral. Lineage: Eukaryota; Viridiplantae; Streptophyta; Magnoliopsida; Malpighiales; Euphorbiaceae.
UCACCGGAAAGCAUGGGCUUGAAGUUGAAACCGAUAAAAACACGAAUACAUGUGGAAGUUUGAAGAAUAUGGAUGACUGGCAAGAGUGCUUUUUUUUUUUUAAUCCAUUUUUUUGUAUGUUUUUUGAUUGGUUGGCAAAGAUAAUGGGUGGAUUGGUAGAAGAUUGUAGAUAAGAGUAAAAAAAGAGGAAAAAAAUACAGGGGAAAAUAUUAGAAAGAAAGCAGAGGUCGCCAUUCUUUGAUUUGUAAUCAUAAGUGUUAGUUGAGGUUGAGAGGGAUUCAGUUGUAAAUC